RNAcentral lists this ribosomal RNA (1643 nucleotides) under Pseudomonocelis orientalis. RNAcentral describes it as "SSU rRNA". It matches the Rfam family "Eukaryotic small subunit ribosomal RNA". The record is from RNAcentral. Lineage: Eukaryota; Metazoa; Platyhelminthes; Proseriata; Monocelididae.
AUGCAUGUCUAAGUACAAAUUGUUAUAAAAUGAAACUGCGAAUGGCUCAUUAAAUCAGCUACAGUUCACUGGGUAAACCACAGUUACUUGGAUAACUGUGGUAAUUCUAGAGCUAAUACAUGCAAUUAUGCCCGCGCUUCACGGCAAGGGUGCUCUUAUUAGAUCAAAACCAACCUGGCUUCGGCCAGAAUUUUUGAUGACUCUGGAUAAUUGGGUGAUCGCAGGACUCAAUGUCGGCGAUUCGCCUUUCAAAAGUCUGCCCUAUCAACUAUAGAUGGUAUAUAACCUGUGUACCAUGGUACUCACGGGUAACGGGGAAUCAGGGUUCGAUUCCGGAGAGGGAGCCUGAGAAACAGCUACCACAUCCAAGGAAGGCAGCAGGCGCGCAAAUUACCCACUCUCAAAACGAGGAGGUAGUGACAAAAAAUAACGAUGCGGGACUCAAUCGAGGCCCCGUAAUCGGAAUGAGAACAAUUUAAAUCCUUUAACGAGGAUCAAUUGGAGGGCAAGUCUGGUGCCAGCAGCCGCGGUAAUUCCAGCUCCAAUAGCGUAUAUUAAAGUUGUUGCAGUUAAAAAGCUCGUAGUUGGAUCUAAGGAUUUGAAUUAACGGUUUGCCUUAUGGUGAUACUGUUGGAUCUGCCUAAAAAUGUCGUGGAGGCUAUUAGUGUUCUUAAUUGAGUGCUUUUAGUGCCCGACGCUAUUACUUUGAGAAAAUUAGAGUGCUUAAAGCAGGCAUAAUGCUUGUAUACUGUUGCAUGGAAUAAUAAAAUAUGAGUUUACUUUUAUUUUGUUGGUAUUCGGAAGUGAACUAAUGAUUGACGGGGACAGUCAGGGGCAUUUGUAUGGAGGGGCUAGAGGUGAAAUUCUGUGACCCUCUCCAGACAAUCUACUGCGAAAGCAUUUGCCAGGAAUGUUUUCAUUAAUCAAGAACGAAAGUCAGAGGUUCGAAGACGAUCAGAUACCGUCCUAGUUCUGACCAUAAAUGAUGCCAUCUAGCAAUUCCCGGAGUUUGCUAGUACGAACUUGGGAGCGGCCCCCGGGAAACCAAAGACUUUGGGUUCCGGGGGAAGUAUGGUUGCAAAGCUGAAACUUAAAGGAAUUGACGGAAGGGCACCACCAGGAGUGGAGCCUGCGGCUUAAUUUGACUCAACACGGGAAACCUCACCCGGCCCGGACACUGUUAUGAUUGACAGAUUAACAGCUCUUUCUUGAUUUAGUGGUUGGUGGUGCAUGGCCGUUCUUAGUUGGUGGAGUGAUUUGUCUGGUUAAUUCCGAUAACGAACGAGACUCUAACCUGCUAAAUAGUACGUUGAUAUUAUAAAGUGAACGAUGACUUCUUAGAGGGACUAAUGGCGUUUAGUCAUGUGAGAAAGAGCAAUAACAGGUCUGUGAUGCCCUUAGAUGUUCGGGGCCGCACGCGCGCUACACUAACUGAAGCAACGGGUAUCAUCCUGGUUAGAAAUGACUGGGUAACCCGCUUGAAUCUCAGUUGUGACUGGGAUCGAGGUUUGCAAUUAUCUCUCGUGAACGAGGAAUUCCGAGUAAGCGCAAGUCAUUAGCUUGCGCUGAUUACGUCCCUGCCCUUUGUACACACCGCCCGUCGCUACUACCGAUUGAACGGUUUAGUGAGAAUUUUGGAUUGG